Molecule: ribosomal RNA, 533 nt
Filed under: Bacillus subtilis
Lineage: Bacteria; Bacillati; Bacillota; Bacilli; Caryophanales; Bacillaceae
Description: bacterial SSU rRNA
Rfam family: Bacterial small subunit ribosomal RNA
Source: RNAcentral
GAAUUAUUGGGCGUAGAGGGCUCGCAGGCGGUUUCUUAAGUCUGAUGUGAAAGCCCCCGGCUCAACCGGGGAGGGUCAUUGGAAACUGGGGAACUUGAGUGCAGAAGAGGAGAGUGGAAUUCCACGUGUAGCGGUGAAAUGCGUAGAGAUGUGGAGGAACACCAGUGGCGAAGGCGACUCUCUGGUCUGUAACUGACGCUGAGGAGCGAAAGCGUGGGGAGCGAACAGGAUUAGAUACCCUGGUAGUCCACGCCGUAAACGAUGAGUGCUAAGUGUUAGGGGGUUUCCGCCCCUUAGUGCUGCAGCUAACGCAUUAAGCACUCCGCCUGGGGAGUACGGUCGCAAGACUGAAACUCAAAGGAAUUGACGGGGGCCCGCACAAGCGGUGGAGCAUGUGGUUUAAUUCGAAGCAACGCGAAGAACCUUACCAGGUCUUGACAUCCUCUGACAAUCCUAGAGAUAGGACGUCCCCUUCGGGGGCAGAGUGACAGGUGGUGCAUGGUUGUCGUCAGCUCGUGUCGUGAGAUGUUGGG